RNAcentral lists this non-coding RNA (29 nucleotides) under Mus musculus (house mouse). The record is from RNAcentral. Lineage: Eukaryota; Metazoa; Chordata; Mammalia; Rodentia; Muridae.
CGGGCUGUCAUAGAACUUAUCAUCCUGUG